CCUAACUGUAAUAGUAACUCUAACUCUAACCCUAACCCUAAUCUUGACUGUAAUAGUAACUCUAACCCUAAUCAUAAACAAGAACAAACCAACAGACAAAAUCAGCAUCUCAAAAUGGCCGACAGAAUCCGCAAUUUCUGCAGCAGCCAAUUAAAAUGAACUAUGGACAGAGAAACCAGACCAAUUUGUCAACAAGCUAGGUGACAUGAAUAAACCACUUUGCUCUCAAAUAUUUAUAGUGGCAGCCGACCACCUUGGUACAAUUCCAGCCUUAUAUCUACCGUCGAGUCUACUUGACACCUUGUAUUAAAACAUUAUCUUAAUUAUAUAAAAAAAAUGUUUUAAACUCCUAGAAAUGGAAGCAAUUAAAGGAUAAAAGUCUGGCUUCAGCGAUUGUGAUUAAUGGACUACAUUACCUCAGGAAGCAAACUACAGGUCAUCAAAAGUUUGGUGAAGAAAGACAAAUUUAUCAAAGUUAGUAUCCAGAGGCUUUUUGUUUAUCAUUUCAGCAAAUUUCCAAUGGCAACCCACCAAACACCCAGGAUGGCGAUAGCAGGGUUUCUGUUUAAUUUCCUGCAGGACCGGGACUCAGGAUGAAGCCUGGGGCCUGGUGUUUUCCUGAUGUUGUUGGUAACAAUAUCUCUUUUUUUCAUAUUAUCUUGUUGGGUUCACUCUGCUCCCAGGCCCGUUCUUAUCAUAGACAAUGUUUUACAGAUAACAACAGCGGGCCCGUGGUACCAGCGGCACUGGCACGCUGCUGCUCGCUCUGCCACUUUACAAAGAGAUAUAGUCAGGAACUGAGCGAGCCCUCUUACUGUUAAUGGAUUUCAAAGGUUAGGUAAACUCUUAAUCUGCGCUGGGUUUGUUUAGGAAAGAAUCUCAUCGUGAAGGGUGCAAGGAAGACAAAGUCAUGGCUCAGUGUGAUUGAUUUGUUGGGGACAUUUUUACAUUUGGCAUGCACCUCCUUUUUUUUAAAGUUUUGAAAGCAGGUAGCUUAUUUGAUAGGUAAAAAAGGCAAGAAACUCAACUUGCCUCCACAAGAUGAACUGUAGUGCUUGACGUUACCACUUAGUAAGGGAAGUACAGAGGGUGCCUUAAAACAGGAAACAACAGGUAUGGUUCACUGAUGUAAUAAAAUGACAAUAAAUGAUUUUCAAAAAUCAUAACUGGGUGCUACAAUCAUAGUAAUCACAGUGGGAAUGCAGAUGAAAUAUAAAAGACGGCGAAAAUGAUGUCCCAUUGAUACCACAGUGGCAAGCGGUGGGGGGAUAAAAGGGGUUGGCAGGAUUAAAAUGCAAGAUUAGUGUUUAAACAGAGUGUCAGCGUCAGCUAGUUCUGUGAAAGUGUUCCUAUCACCACUGCAAAGAGAUUUUAGGAACAUCUGCCGUUUAAGGACCGAUAACAGGAGUUAAAACAUAUCAAUGUGCAUCUGCUGCUGUAGGUAGAGCAGAUGCACACAGGAGACAGAGUCGGGAGCAGGCUGCACUUUAAUCACAGUUAGGUGUUAUUCUGCUCUCAGCUAUCUUGAGAUCUGGGAGCCGUCCAUUGCGUUUGCUCCUUACGCCUCGAGGAAGGAAAACAAGUGGUUCCACUUUAGUUGUUUUCAGUGAGUGAAGCACUAGACUUGCUCUUGUGGAGCUCGGGAGAGAAGCCAAAGGGACAUGCAAUGGUUUUUGUUUUUUUAAAAGGAGAAGCAGUAACAGUAAUGCUAACUGCUUGUGAGGUCUAAAUAGACCGCAAUUAUAUUGCUUGUAUGUUUGAUUCUCAUUUAGUAAAAUAACAUGUUUGUUUUUUUAAUAGACUAACCCUUGCUAGUACGUGUAUUGGGCUAUUUGAACUGCGUUCAUGCUGUAAUGGAUCUUCUCCUAGUAGAUGAGUUAAUAAUACUGAUAUCAGCAUAAGACCCAUACUUGCCUCGACCAUACAGCUCUUUAAUUGAAUGGUAAGAUAUUAAUCUAUGAACAGUGAGGUUGCUAGUUCACAUCCAGCCCUUGCCUCUCUAUUCAGUUCAAUGGGCUGAGAUGCCAAGCCAUUACAGUGUGCCUGCCCGGCUAGUGUCCCAGUACCCCCUUCUAGGUGACAAACGUUUUAAUCAGUGUUGCCAUUCAAACAGUACAGAAGUAGCUAUUGUCCAGCAGAAUUGCAGUUUGAUUGAUUUCAGUACCAAUUAAUAGAAGCACUGAAAUAAUCACUUGACUGCAUGUUAAUACCCUAAUAGAUUCCUUUCUUUCUCCCAUAGCCCCACACCAGCAGAAAAAUCUUUUAAGGGGUGGCAGCGAGUCACAAUCCUGGAGAGAACCUUCACACGCUAUUGUUGUAAUAAAAGAGGGCGCUGGUGGUUUGCUUUAUUUAAUAAGGGCCUGGGAGCGCCCUGCUCUGAUUCAUUGAAGGAGGCGUCUGCAUUACGAAGUACCUCAGUGGUUAGCUUCAUUUUAAUAGACCAAUAUGUCCCAGUAUUGACUUGUCAGCUAGACUGGGACAGGUCAUGUGUAGCCACUGACCUCAUAUCCUUUACCAAAAUGUAAGAGAAAUGAUUACAGUAUUCUGCAGUUAUUUCUUUUAAUGUAUCAAUAAGAACAUGCAAUUGAAAGAUUGAGUGACAGGUUGAAAUAUGUUUGAUAUAUUAUUAUUAUUAAGGAUGAUUGAUAGUUGCCCUUAAUGCAUAUAUAGUGUUGCUCAUCAUGCUUUACAAUUACUCUCAUAAAAGUUUACUGUGGUACAUUUGUAUUUUACCAUGCAUUCCCCAUGCUUUUACUAUCUAUGUGUUUAUCACAGUUAAUUUUCGAUUUUUAUCUGUGAUUCGUGUUCCUUGCCUGUGGUUUUCACCUGGCUUUUGUGAUCCUUUGCUAUACCAUUUUUAAAUGACUGACAGUGCCAUGAAGAGUAGGCUUUUGCUCUGAGGAUACAGAAGCAGCUGCAUAUUGUACCAUCUGUAAUGUCAAGCGUUCUGAGUAAACCCAUUAGCCUUUAGCAAUCAACCCUAGACAGAGCAAAGCCCUCGAGUCAAUAUAAAGAGAAGUGCGUAGGACAGCUGGAGAGGGGUGGUGCCACUGGAAAAUGAACCUCUUUCUCCUUGUCAUCCCCCAGAGGUAACUCAUGCAUUUCAACUGUACUCCACAGUAAACUACAGUGAAUAAACCACAGCAAACAACCAAAAAAAAUCAAAAGCCCAAGCAGAUAUACAAAAAAAUGGAAUUGGUCAGCUGCUAACAACCGCCUAGCAACACAUAGGUAGAAAUCCAUCAUGGUACAAUGAGACGACUCGAUUCAGCAGGAGAGCAAAGCUGUAACCGACAGCCAGCGGUCUGUCUGUCUGAGUGAGCCUGUCUUCUGAAAGAUCUCAGCUGCUGGCCAGUGUGGCAGCCGUCCAGUUCAAACCAUGGAGGGGAGCCUGGGGAGCCACUAUUGAAACGGAAGUGUCUCUGCAGGCCCAGAGAAACUCAAAGAUUCAGCAUGAGAAGACUGCUGCCACCCUGCAGCCUUUCAAAUAAAGCACAGCAGCACAAGUUAGCACUGAUGUGCAACACAGCAGUCAUUAGCAGCUAGGUAACUAGGCAACAGUUAGCUGUCUCGAGAACAGCAAUUUAAAAGAUAUACUGAGAAUUAGAAGAGAAGGCGUUGGGAAAGUCACAAAUAAGUAGUAAGGUGUCAUCACAUUGCUUCAUUGUGAUUUUUUCCUCAUAUAGGCUGAGAUGCCAAUAAAGCACUUAUCCAUUAUGUAGAAGUAAUGACCAAUGCAUUGGAAAUGUACGUUUAGUUAGUACUGCAAUACUUUGUGUUGUAGAGUAAGCGCAUUGGUAAUAGUGCUGUUAAUUAUGUAAGAAAUAUUGUUUUAAAGUAUUACUUAUCCCGUUAACAGAUCUAAAUUGGAUGCCAAAUCACAUAAAGAUAUUAUCUGCAAAGCUAAACAGUAUAUUAUAUAAACAUUGGCGCCAAUAAACAGAUGAACGCAUUGUAAAAUGGAUACUCAAGCUUCAUACCACAGAUUGCUGCACAGCAGGGUGUUAAUAGCUGUGCUGGCUCUGGUUUGGAAAGACUUUACUUUUCAUAUCGGAUCGAGAAGAGUUUUUCAAUAGGCAGAUCCACUUUACUGAGCCGGAUCUGGGGAAAAUGCACAGCUUUCCUGGUUCCCAUCGUGUUGCUUUCUACCGCAGCAGAAGGGCAUUGAAAUCUACUCUGGCACAAGUGAAGGCAUGUUUUAAAUGGCAAGUAAAGUUCACAUCCAACAGUACAGAGUCUGCACUAAAAUCACACCAAGAAAAUACAUUUUCGCUUCUUCUAUUAGCUUUACAUGCGAGUCAUAUUAAAAAAUAAUAAUAAUCAAUUUAAAAACAUACCUAUAUGAAAUUACAGAGAAUAAGUAAUUACCAUAUUAAUACAACUCCAACAGGAUCAGAUUUCAGUAGCUGAAAGACACCUUCUUCCAUAAGGCUGCAUGGUACAGUUCAAAUGAUACGGGCAUGGGUGGAUGAGGAUUCUUUACUCACAGACAGUGCAUUCCUUUGCAUGAAUUAGGGUUAUGCCAACAAUGAACAGUGUACUGGUAUACAAGCGCAACCAGCCCAGCACAAUAAGCAAUGCAGAGCAGCCAUGCUGACCUCUGUAGCACCAUUUAUGUGCUCAAGUUGCAAAGUGAUUCCAGCUGUGAGAAUUAAACUCACAUCUCUCUGGGACCUGGCUUGCGUUCUUCCGUCUUUCAAACCAUCUUUCUUGCUGUCCAGAUGGAAAACUCGGAUAUUUCUAACAUCUGGAAAUAGAGAUUUGUGUUUAUGUGUUCAUAAUACCUUAUGUUAAAAAAAAAAAUCCAUGUGUUUUAAUAAAGUUAAUAAGCUAAUACCAA
Long non-coding RNA from Polyodon spathula (Mississippi paddlefish), 4840 nucleotides. RefSeq lists it as uncharacterized. The transcript is spliced from 2 exons. The record is from RefSeq and is a predicted model, not a curated record. Lineage: Eukaryota; Metazoa; Chordata; Actinopteri; Acipenseriformes; Polyodontidae.